This 107-nucleotide small nuclear RNA is filed under the name Carlito syrichta (Philippine tarsier). The record is from RNAcentral. Lineage: Eukaryota; Metazoa; Chordata; Mammalia; Primates; Tarsiidae.
GUGCUCACUUCAGCAGCCCAUAUACCAAAAUUAGUAUGAUACAGAAAAGAUUAACUUGACCCCUGUGAAAGAAUGACACACAAAUUUGUGAAGCAUUUCAUAUUUUU